Molecule: non-coding RNA, 365 nt
Organism: Meleagris gallopavo (turkey)
Lineage: Eukaryota; Metazoa; Chordata; Aves; Galliformes; Phasianidae
Source: RefSeq, a predicted model, not a curated record
CACCCCCGUUCUCCCGCAGGAAGUACAUCUGGAGGACGUACCACCUGACUUACAACGGGGAGAAGCUGGCGGAUGACAGAAAGAAGCUGAGAGAGUAUGGCAUCAGGAACCGGGAUGAGGUCAGCUUCAUCAAGAAACUCCGAAAGUGACCUGUCAGGUAGAACAGAGAAUCCAUUCCUGCCAGGAUCAGAUAAGGGAUUCAGUGCUCUCCAAGAGGAAGAGGUUGAAAGAUUUCACAGAGAAGCAAACUCCAGUUGAACAGAUGCUCUUACAUGUUUUUGCAGUUCUUGCUGUUCAAAACGUCUGCCUCUGAGCUGUAUGCAGAAUGUGCUUUUUGUAAUUAAAGUGACUCUCAUUUUUCUGAG